RNAcentral lists this long non-coding RNA (236 nucleotides) under Gossypium barbadense (sea-island cotton). RNAcentral describes it as "long non-coding RNA (GBAR_LNC005765)". The record is from RNAcentral. Lineage: Eukaryota; Viridiplantae; Streptophyta; Magnoliopsida; Malvales; Malvaceae.
AUGGUCACACCCCUUUAAGUGGGAGUGAGAAACUACUCCUUCGUGAGGUUUUCACCUCCGUGCAGGAUAGUGGAUCGCUUUCGGGAUACAUCCGUACCUAUGUCUUCGUGAGAUUUUCAUCUCCGUGCAGCCAUAGGGAAAUGUAUCCCCCUAAACUGAACUCGGUCUGUAUGAGCCUAUAAUGGGUGAAGAUCGAGGAAUCUGCUGGUUCAGGUACCCUUACUCUAGAACCAAAC